RNAcentral lists this ribosomal RNA (460 nucleotides) under uncultured bacterium. RNAcentral describes it as "partial 16S ribosomal RNA". It matches the Rfam family "Bacterial small subunit ribosomal RNA", at positions 338 to 795 of the family's 1533-position model. The record is from RNAcentral.
CCUACGGGAGGCAGCAGUGAGGAAUAUUGGUCAAUGGACGAGAGUCUGAACCAGCCAAGUAGCGUGAAGGAUGACUGCCCUAUGGGUUGUAAACUUCUUUUAUAUGGGAAUAAAAUGUUCCACGUGUGGGAUUUUGUAUGUACCAUAUGAAUAAGGAUCGGCUAACUCCGUGCCAGCAGCCGCGGUAAUACGGAGGAUCCGAGCGUUAUCCGGAUUUAUUUGGUUUAAAGUGAGCGUAGGUGGAUUGUUAAGUCAGUUGUGAAAGUGUGCGGCUCAACCGUAAAAUUGCAGUUGAAACUGGCAGUCUUGAGUACAGUAGAGGUGGGCGGAAUUCGUGGUGUAGCGGUGAAAUGCUUAGAUAUCACGAAGAAUGCCGAUUGCGAAGGCAGCUCACUGGACUGCAACUGACACUGAGGCUCGAAAGUGUGGGUAUCAAACAGGAUUAGAUACCCGUGUAGUC